Long non-coding RNA from Musa acuminata AAA Group (dessert banana), 664 nucleotides. RefSeq lists it as uncharacterized. The transcript is spliced from 2 exons. The record is from RefSeq and is a predicted model, not a curated record. Lineage: Eukaryota; Viridiplantae; Streptophyta; Magnoliopsida; Zingiberales; Musaceae.
UCCAAAUCAUUCGACACAAAGUUGUUUGGUUAUAGUCCCUGGAGAUUAGAUGAUCUUUAAGUAGGGAUGAGAGCAGAUUGAGUUUCUUCAGCUACUUGCAUCUAUCCAAACCCAUUCAAAUCCAAAAAUGAGAUGGAUUUAAGUCAUUCGUCAGAGCUAAUGUUAAGCAGUAUCGACCUCAUGGAUCAUAAGGAUUGGUGCAAGAGAAACAAGAGAUUCGGUGCGGAAUGGAAAGGGAAAUCAUGGUGAUGCCAUGUGACACACUGGGCUUGACAUCCCAACAGCCAAUCAAGCUGGGAAAGGACAGAGCAAGUGACGGAGGAGGUGGCUCAACUGCUCCUUUCCAAUUACAUUAGCCAUUAGGCUCACAUCUGCUGUGGCUACCUAUCUACUUGUUUAUCGAUGUCUAAAUAAUAUAUGACAUGGUGGUCAUACAUUAAGUACACCUUCCAUGGAUUGGAUUGUUAAGGUUGGGGUGCCCUCCCGACAUUUUGAUGUCCUAAAAUGGACUUACAUCCCGUGGUUGCUUAUCACCAGACGGGGACACAUACGUUCUAUUCCCUUGCGUGACAUUGGUCCCAUUCCUAGCGCAAAAAAACCAGGCAUAUUAGCUCAUCAUGAUUUAUAUUUGGAUUUUUAAUGUACUUAUUGGAUGCAUUGUUUU